CAAUUGGUUAAUCUUUGUAAAUUAUGCAAUCCAGUUAGAUUGUGUUUUGUUUUCACUAAAGAUUGAAGGACUGUUUUUGAUGUUAUGCCAUUUUUAUUUUAUUAUCUAUGACAUGCAAACGCCUACCUACAUUGGAAUAAAUUACCGUGUUCAUUAUCUACCUUCGGAAUUACAUGCAAGCCGCUUGUCACUCAUAUAACUAGUUAUGUGGAAAAGAAAGGAGAAAAUCAGAAACAUCAUAAGAGUGGACGCCCUACUGAAACGAUCUAAGAAAGGGGAGCCGUGGCCGAAAUGACGCUCAAAAUAAAAUAAAUACACGACCAGAAAAACAUGAACCAUCCCUCCUCCCGCUACUGUAUCAAAACAGACGAAAACAGUGAACAUUGCAGUGUAGACGCAGGUCCUUUCCGCUGGCUGUUAUCUGUCUCCAGCAAUAACAUUGAAGAAUAAAAUAAUAUGCAAUAGAUGGUAUUGCGCUGUGCUGUCUCAAGAUGGACUUAAGAAGCAAAAAGGAAAGAGUCCAAGGGGCGGCCCACCCUCCCGCGGCCCAUCGGAACACAGAAUAAUAAUCGCCAAAAGAAACGAUGGGGAGGAAAAAUAUAAAUAGCCGUAUCUACCCCCUCGAGAUAUUAAAAUUUGUACAAGAAAUACUCGAGCCCGCUUUCAAUUUUACUUAAAUAAAAUUAUUUUCCGCCGCUCGGACGCUACCAAAGCGUUCGUGUUUCCCGACAUUGUUGCCGUAUUGAGACAAAUAACUUUAAUAACAAUAACUAACAUUAUCUAUUAAAUAAAAAGUCAUGAAUUUGUGAAACAAGUAUACUUGAGUCUACUUUUUAAUAUACAUAAGCUUAAAUUUAAAUUAAAUUCAAAGGCUUUUGUAAGUAAUAAUAUAAUAACAAAUAUAACUAUAACUUCUCUGAUGUUUAAAGACUGUUGCAUUCAAAAAAGACAUCUCUAAAGUCAAAACUUUACAACACUAUAUCAUAGACUUAUUGAAAACAGACAGGUUUAUAUCAAUUUCAAAACUCAAAAUAAAUUAAUUAACAAUGUAUGUGAGCCAUUUCUCCUUGUUCAAUGAAUAUGUAUUUAUAUUGUUUUAAUAACCUAAAUACGAUUGAUCUACUCAUUUUUAGGUUAUCCGUCAAUGUUAAAUAGACAACCAAUUCAAUUUAAAAGAUAUAAAUCCGCUCUAUUAGAACAUGGUUCUAAAAGUAGUGUUGUUUCAUUUAUGUUUUUGUAAGGCCCUGUCCCACAAAAUAGCAAAUUGCCUGAUAACAAUCCAACGUGUAAAAUAUGUGAUGGAAAUAUCGGAUUUUCUUACUUUCUCUGACUGUGACGUCAUUUUUAAGCUAUCUGAGCGUCUAUCAGCCAGUGGUGGGACAGGCCCUAUUUUUUUUAGGUUAAUCAGGGUCACUGAUCACUUGUAUAAUUGGUUUAUAAAACCCGUGUUUAAUAUUGUACGUUUUUCUUUAGUGUACGCAACAUUUUUGUAAUUUUUUUUAUUUUAUUUAUGUGUCGCUCCUAAUUAUUUAAUUAUCUGGGUAAUAACUAGUAAAUGCGUUGAGAUCGAAGUUCGAUUACACCCAUAACUCAAAGUGAUCCCAACGGCCGCGGCUUGUGAAAGUGAAGUGAAAAUUCUUGUCCCGAGGCGUAACUUAAAAUCGCUAAACUUCUCACUUCGAAUAACUUAAAUCGCGGUAAGUUCGGUUAAGUAGAGCGUAGAGUACGCAGACAAAUUUUUAUUUUAUGUAAUCGAUAGAACAAAUUAUCCUUUUGUAAAUUGUUUUGCUUCUUAAGGUGUAUUUUUGUCUAAUUUUUUGUAAUUAUUAGAAGUAGUAUAACAAAAACAAACAACUUCGUCGAAUUUAGAAUUUUAUAAAUUACAUUUUUUCAACAACUUAUUUAAUUAAAGAACAUAUUCUUCACACAAGAGUUUUCACGUAUCUGAAGCUUGUAAAAGAUAAAAGACUUAUGAAAAUCUAUACUGGGUCAUGUUUUGCGAACUUUACUUUGUUGACAUAAAAAAAUCUGUUGACAACGUGUAUCUGUCAAACGUUUUCUUACAUGUUCAAAAAAGAUGUUUGUGAGAUUGUUGGAUUUUGUCAUUUUUAUAUUUUUGUUUACGUUAAAAACUAUAUUGAACAACUGACCAGCAUCUUAACUUUCGUAAUGAAUUUUGUAGACGUAUUUGGAAAUUUAAAAAACUUAAUUCGUAAAAACAUCGGACCCCGAAUCAGAUCUUUAAAAAUCAACCAAUGACACCGUUAGGGUGGGAAAGGGGCGCAGUCUUGAGGGGGGGUUCAUUUUUGCCAAUACUUAAACGAAGAUAGAUAGCGCCCACCCCUCACCCCGCACCAGUCGGGGUGUUUUAAGAAAAUUUUAACUUUUCUUUAUUCAAAGAGCGCGCCCGCCCGGGGAGGCGCACCCACCCACCUUUCUCAUUUUUCUUUUGCUAUUCUCUUUGGCCACUUUCAAAGGAAAAUAACAGUGUGCUCUCUUAAGCGUUUAUUAAAUUCUUAGUGAAUAUCUAAAAAAGCCCGCGCCGUCUCGAAUUUAUUACGAUUCCGAGAAUUCAAAAGCCCAGUUUUGUUUCCAUUUUCAUCUUGAAUUACGUUUAAAUCGUUGCUUUUAUAUUUCCUUUUACUUUGAGCGGUUCAGAGCAUUUUGUGUACAAAUAGAAACUUUAAAGCGUACCUUAGCAAUCUUUUGCUACAUAAUUUUGUAUAUGAUAUGUCACGUGUCGAUUCUGAAAUUCGUCGAAUAUACAAACUGUAUAAAUCUUAGCGCAAACUUAAAGGACUACACUUAACAUUGAGCAAUUAUAGUUUAAUAUUUGGGAAAAAUGUUAUUACCAUCUUUUCCAAGUUUUAAAAAUGUAGAUCUUUGUGAAUUUUUUACUUUUAAUAAAAAUUGAGAGUGAUUUUUCAUUUCUAAGCAAGAAAAAAUUCCUUUGUAAGAUAAAUUCAACAAAUCCUCAGAUUUAAAUCUUCAAUUUACAAGAUUAUGUAAUUUAAAACAACGCCAUCUCCUGUCAUUGUUGACAACAUUGAAAUUAUAAAAAUCAAUUUCCUGUUUCACAACCUAGAUGGCACUAAAACAGAAACGCGAUCAGCUUAAUUUAUAUUAGAAAACUGCAUCAAUGAUGUUCUACGGCUCUUAUAUAAUGAGUUUGCUUCGUUUCAACUAUUUUUAGAUCUGUUUUUAGCAUUUUUUGUAUGUAAAUUUGGCUUUGAAAAUAAAACAUCCAACAUUGA
Papilio polytes (common Mormon) is the source of this 3254-nucleotide long non-coding RNA. RefSeq lists it as uncharacterized. The transcript has 3 exons. NCBI's taxonomy places the organism in Eukaryota, Metazoa, Arthropoda, Insecta, Lepidoptera, Papilionidae. The record is from RefSeq and is a predicted model, not a curated record.